GGAGUGGGAAAGAGGUGGCAUCGGCAGUUCAAGACUGAUUUUUCUAUCUCUUCAGUGCCUCUUUCAACAAUAUGAAGUUCAAACCAGGUUUUGUGCAAAUAUCUGCUGAGUAAACUACUUAUUUGAAAAGACAUCAUUGGUUAAUAUUCCCUUUUGCUCAUUGAAAUCUCAAAGACUAGAGACCCAGCACAAGACAUUCUGACAUUCCCGUCUUUGAAAUGAAUGACAACGAUGGUAAAUGUGGCUCACCUCCAGAGAUACAGAUCUCACAAUUUCAUAUUUUUAAUAUACAUUAUUAAUCCGAGAUGCAGAGAGAGAUAAGACCCAUGAUAAUCAAGCCAUAAACAGAUGCAUUUACUAACUAGCUGAAUGCCCAACAAUGGAAUUCAACAAAUCCAUCUUGAGCACGGCAACCAGGAGUGUGGUGCAAUUCCGUUAGAUGAAAGAGAUCUACACAUUCAGAAGCACAUGAUUCUUCCCCCUUCCAUGAUUCCAGUGGCCAAUAGACAAACUGCAAUAAAGCCAUGCCCCGACUGGAUGUGCCUAACAUUUGUCUGGUGCUUAAAGGAGUUGGCUGCAUGCAUGGGAUGGAAAAGGAUUCAACAUUUAAUGGCAGUUAGAAUCAAAUUUUUAACUCAAGAAGGCAGAAGGAAUCCACCUAAAUAAAUGUUGGAAAGUCACCAAAAAUAGUUCUCCAAGUCAGAAGCGGUGCAAAAGCUGCCUCAACUCUUGGUGGAUUUUCAAUUUCUCCCAGCCAUCUCUGUUUCUCUAAAGGUUUCUGAAGACAGUGGGUAUGUGGCAAAAUUCUGCAGUUCUAUAUUAAGAUAAACUGUUAGAUCAAU
This 842-nucleotide long non-coding RNA is filed under the name Pongo abelii (Sumatran orangutan). RNAcentral describes it as "lincRNA". The record is from RNAcentral. Lineage: Eukaryota; Metazoa; Chordata; Mammalia; Primates; Hominidae.